GGAAUGGCCCCAGACUUUGCGGGCGGCCUCCGUGUGCCAAAAAUAGGCCACGGGCACAGCCGCGCCCAAAAAUGAGCUCCCGAAGGUCGGGGCGCCAACACCCCCCAGCGGAAAAUUGGCCGAAAAACGGGUGGCCUAUAGCCUUGGUGGGGGGCGUGGGCGAAGUUCGUCCGCCGGACUCGGAAUGGCCCCAGACUUUGCGGGCGGCCUCCGUGUGCCAAAAAUAGGCCACGGGCACAGCCGCGCCCAAAAAUGAGCGCCCGAAGGUCGGGGCGCCAGCACCCCCGAGCGGAAAAAUGGCCAAGAAACGGGUGUGCUAUAGCCUUGGCGGGGGGCGUGGGCGAAGUUCGUCCGCCGGACUCGGAAUGGCCCCAGACUUUGCGGGCGGCCUCCGUGUGCCAAAAAUAGGCCACGGGCACAGCCGCGCCCAAAAAUGAGCGCCCUAAGGUCGGGGCGCCAACACCCCCCAGCGGAAAAUUGGCCGAAAUACGGGUGGCCUAUAGCCUUGGCGGGGGGCGUGGGCGAAGUUCGUCCGCCGGACUCGGAAAGGCCCCAGACUUUGCGGGCGGCCUCCGUGUGCCAAAAAUAGGCCACGAGCACAGCCGCGCCCAAAAAUGAGCGCCCGAAG
RNAcentral lists this long non-coding RNA (628 nucleotides) under Citrus x clementina. RNAcentral describes it as "Citrus clementina (C. clementina) long non-coding RNA (CCLE_LNC001658)". The record is from RNAcentral. Lineage: Eukaryota; Viridiplantae; Streptophyta; Magnoliopsida; Sapindales; Rutaceae.